ACACAUGCAAGUCGCACGGUCAGCAAUGGCAGUGGCGGACGGGUGAGUAACAUGUAGGAAUCUAUCCCAGGGUGGGGGACAACAGCGGGAAACUGCUGCUAAUACCGCAUGAUACCUGAGGGUCAAAGGCGCAAGUCGCCUUGGGAGGAGCCUGCGUCUGAUUAGCUAGUUGGUGGGGUAAAGGCCUACCAAGGCGACGAUCAGUAGCUGGUCUGAGAGGAUGAUCAGCCACAUUGGGACUGAGACACGGCCCAAACUCCUACGGGAGGCAGCAGUGGGGAAUAUUGGACAAUGGGGGAAACCCUGAUCCAGCAAUGCCGCGUGUGUGAAGAAGGUCUUCGGAUUGUAAAGCACUUUUGGCAGGGACGAUGAUGACGGUACCUGCAGAAUAAGCCCCGGCUAACUUCGUGCCAGCAGCCGCGGUAAUACGAAGGGGGCUAGCGUUGCUCGGAAUGACUGGGCGUAAAGGGCGCGUAGGCGGCAUGUACAGUCAGAAGUGAAAUUCCUGGGCUCAACCUGGGGACUGCUUUUGAUACGUGCAAGCUAGAGUGAGGAAGAGGGUUGUGGAAUUUCCAGUGUAGAGGUGAAAUUCGUAGAUAUUGGAAAGAACACCGGUGGCGAAGGCGGCAACCUGGUCCUUUACUGACGCUGAGGCGCGAAAGCGUGGGGAGCAAACAGGAUUAGAUACCCUGGUAGUCCACGCUGUAAACGAUGUGUGCUGGAUGUUGGGAAACUUAGUUUUUCAGUGUCGUAGCUAACGCGAUAAGCACACCGCCUGGGGAGUACGGCCGCAAGGUUGAGACUCAAAGGAAUUGACGGGGGCCCGCACAGCGGUGGAGCAUGUGGUUUAA
RNAcentral lists this ribosomal RNA (851 nucleotides) under uncultured bacterium. RNAcentral describes it as "bacterial SSU rRNA". It matches the Rfam family "Bacterial small subunit ribosomal RNA", at positions 51 to 949 of the family's 1533-position model. The record is from RNAcentral.